This 1501-nucleotide ribosomal RNA is filed under the name metagenome. Its description in RNAcentral is "bacterial SSU rRNA". It matches the Rfam family "Bacterial small subunit ribosomal RNA". The record is from RNAcentral.
AGAGUUUGAUUCUGGCUCAGAUUGAACGCUGGCGGCGUGCCUAACACAUGCAAGUCGAGCGAGAAAGUUUCCUUCGGGAGAUGAGUACAGCGGCGCACGGGUGAGUAACGCGUGGAUGAUCUACCUUGAAGACUGGGAUAACAGUGGGAAACUGCUGCUAAUACCGGAUGUUCUACAUAUUCAACUAUGUGGCAAAGAUGGCCUCUGUUUACAAGCUAUUACUUCGAGAUGAGUCCGCGUUUCAUUAGCUAGACGGUAGGGUAACGGCCUACCGUGGCUACGAUGAAUAGCCGGCCUGAGAGGGUGGCCGGCCACACUGGAACUGGAACACGGUCCAGACUCCUACGGGAGGCAGCAGUGGGGAAUAUUGCGCAAUGGACGAAAGUCUGACGCAGCGACGCCGCGUGGGGGAAGAAGGUUUUCGGAUCGUAAACCCCUGUCAGGAGGGAAGAAACUAUUGGGUUCUAAUAGGGCCCUUUAUUGACGGUACCUCCAGAGGAAGCACCGGCUAACUCCGUGCCAGCAGCCGCGGUAAUACGGAGGGUGCAAGCGUUAAUCGGAAUCACUGGGCGUAAAGCGUACGUAGGCUGCCCUGCAAGUCAAAUGUGAAAGCCCACGGCUCAACCGUGGAAUUGCAUUCGAAACUGCAGGGCUUGAGUUCGGGAGAGGGUGGCGGAAUUCCAGGUGUAGGAGUGAAAUCCGUAGAUAUCUGGAGGAACACCAGUGGCGAAGGCGGCCACCUGGACCGAUACUGACGCUGAGGUACGAAAGUGUGGGGAGCAAACAGGAUUAGAUACCCUGGUAGUCCACACCGUAAACGAUGGACACUAGGUGUCGGGGGCUUGACCUUCGGUGCCGGAGCUAACGCGUUAAGUGUCCCGCCUGGGGAGUACGGUCGCAAGGCUGAAACUCAAAGAAAUUGACGGGGCCCGCACAAGCGGUGGAGUAUGUGGUUUAAUUCGAUCAACGCGAAGAACCUUACCUGGACUUGACAUCCUGUGAAUCCCUCUUAAUAGAGGGAGUGCCCUUCGGGGAACACAGUGACAGGUGCUGCAUGGCUGUCGUCAGCUCGUGCCGUGAGGUGUUGGGUUAAGUCCUGCAACGAGCGCAACCCCUAUCUUUAGUUGCCAGCAAGUAAUGUUGGGCACUCUAGAGAGACUGCCUAGGUUAACUGGGAGGAAGGUGGGGACGACGUCAAGUCAUCAUGGCCCUUACGUCCAGGGCUACACACGUACUACAAUGGCGAGUACAAAGGGCAGCGAAGCCGCGAGGUGGAGCCAAUCCCAAAAAGCUCGUCUCAGUCCGAAUUGGAGUCUGCAACUCGACUCCAUGAAGUCGGAAUCGCUAGUAAUCCCGGAUCAGCAUGCCGGGGUGAAUACGUUCCCGGGCCUUGUACACACCGCCCGUCACACCACGGAAGUUGGUUCUACCCGAAGUCACCGGGCUAACACUUUAUUGUGAGGCAGGUGCCGACGGUAGGGCUGAUGACUGGGGUGAAGUC